This 302-nucleotide ribosomal RNA is filed under the name uncultured bacterium. Its description in RNAcentral is "partial 16S ribosomal RNA". It matches the Rfam family "Bacterial small subunit ribosomal RNA", at positions 508 to 807 of the family's 1533-position model. The record is from RNAcentral.
GCAGCAGCCACGGUAAUACGGAGGGAGCUAGCGUUAUUCGGAAUUACUGGGCGUAAAGCGCACGUAGGCGGCUUUGUAAGUUAGAGGUGAAAGCCUGGAGCUCAACUCCAGAAUUGCCUUUAAGACUGCAUCGCUUGAAUCCAGGAGAAGUGAGUGGAAUUCCGAGUGUAGAGGUGAAAUACGUAGAUAUUCGGAAGAACACCAGUGGCGAAGGCGGCUCACUGGACUGGUAUUGACGCUGAGGUGCGAAAGCGUGGGGAGCAAACAGGAUUAGAUACCCCAGUAGUCCCUGUCUCUUAUAC